UACAGAGGGGGCAAGCGUUGUUCGGAAUUACUGGGCGUAAAGGGCGCGUAGGGGGCCUUCUAAGUUGAACGUGAAAUCCCUGGGCUCAACCCAGGAACUGCGUCCAAGACUGGGAGGCUUGAAUCCGGGAGAGGGAUGCGGAAUUCCAGGUGUAGCGGUGAAAUGCGUAGAUAUCUGGAGGAACACCGGUGGCGAAGGCGGCAUCCUGGACCGGUAUUGACACUGAGGCGCGAAAGCCAGGGGAGCAAACGGG
RNAcentral lists this ribosomal RNA (253 nucleotides) under uncultured bacterium. Its description in RNAcentral is "partial 16S ribosomal RNA". It matches the Rfam family "Bacterial small subunit ribosomal RNA", at positions 524 to 776 of the family's 1533-position model. The record is from RNAcentral.